RNAcentral lists this long non-coding RNA (8714 nucleotides) under Ananas comosus (pineapple). Its description in RNAcentral is "long non-coding RNA (ACOM_LNC019110)". The record is from RNAcentral. Lineage: Eukaryota; Viridiplantae; Streptophyta; Magnoliopsida; Poales; Bromeliaceae.
UUAGCCAUAAAAAGAGAUUGUAUACUUUAUCUUAUAAAAGGGAUCACUUUCUUUGCUUUACAAACAAUAAAAAGUGCUGCCUUUUCUUUUAAGAAUCACUUCAUCGGGGAGUAAAGUGCUGUGUAUAUAAAUGUCCAGAUAACAGGAACCAAGUAGGAAUUGUUAUAAUUGCAGAUUAUGGUUAUUUGAUCUUAAUAUGCAAGGUUUAUGCAAAGCUUGAAGUGUAACUUGACAUAAGGUGAGUGAUUUGGACUGUUUUGUGCUCUAAAAUCAGAGAGGAACCACUGCUAAUAUUUGACGUGGCGUAGUAUGAUGCAUGGUAUUUAAGGUGGUCUGGUAAUUGAUGAGUAACGUGUCGAGCAUAAGGUCAUGUACGGUUUGAACAAGCAAUUCAUCAUUACGUAUUGCAAGCUAAAGAAAUCAAAAUUUAAAAGUUAUAUCUUUCAUUCAGGUAACCCUGCUUGGUGCAAUCUCAAUAUAGUCCGUUGAUAGAAGUGUAAAUUUGUAGUAGAUGGCAUAGUUAUUGUGCAUAAGUUUUAUGGUUCGCUUUCUCAAUGCUCUGGCAAACAAAUAGAAGAAGCUUAUCCUGUCACUGGUUUUUAUCAUUUAACAAAAGCUGGUUAUUUUCUGAUACGGUCCUACCGUAUCAAUAGGGAUAAACGAUCACUUCGAGGGGAUCGAGCCUCCAGAGAAUUAAGAAAUUGAGAGGUAGGGACAAGAUAUGAGGGAAAAGAGAUAAUUUUACUUGAUAGUUUCUUGUAACGCCCCGGUUACAUUAUAUAGAGUUCAACUACUCCUAACCAUUUCCUAACAAGAUAAUUGACUAUCCCUAAUUNCAGAGGCGAGCCAAGCGAGGACCGCGGCAAGGGCAUAGCGCCCUAAGUGAGCCUAGUUAGUAGCUUUUCCUUUAUGCAUUAGAGUACCCUCGUGUACUAGAGAAUGUUUUGGAUAGUUAUGAGAGGGCUACUUAUAUUUUGAAGAAAUAUGUACUUACAUUUUGGAAGAUGAAAAUGUAAUAUAUCAAAGAUGUAAAAAUAGAAUGUAAAGUAAUAGCUAGAUGUAUCUCUCUUUAUGCACUUGUAUGUACACUUGUGUUACUUGCUCUUGUUGUAUUGCACUCUUUGUGCUUCUCUCCUUGUUGGAUCGCGUAUGUAUUGAAUUAUUCCUGGGCAAUUCUAUGUACAUGAUCUUACCUUUGAGCCUUGGGCGGACAGGGGAGGUGCUGUCCGUCCGGCGUCUGUUCGACGCGCUCGAACCGGACCAAAUUGGUAGCGGUCUCGGGGCGUGACAAUAAUAUUGUCAUUUUGUUGUAGUUAGUUAUUGUUCGAUAACUUAAUUAUUUUUUUCUCACCAUUACUACCGAAAUAUACAUCAGGGGUUUCUAAAAAGUAAAUAUCUUUGUUAGUGGGUGAUUUGAUGGUCAAGUAACUAUGUAAUUCUAAAAUCCUUGAAAAAUAUUCUAUAAAAAUUUGGAGGUUAGCUAUGAAAAAUUUCUUUAUAGACACCCCUAUUCUAUUAUCUUAUGUUAUGUUAGGUUAAAGUUUAGGUUAGGAAUAUUUCCCAAGUAGAAAAAUAGGAUAGAAAAAUAAUUAUGGAGAGUUGUUUGAGAUUCAUGUGAAUUGAAUUGCAUGGGAAUGUAUUUUGUAGUUAAAGGAUGGAUUGUUAACAGACUAUUACUGUGUUGAGUGUCUUUUGUUUUCUAUGAAGGAAGUAAAAAAAAAAAAAGGCAGGAAAUCAGACCAUAUUGUCUUGUCAUUUCGAUAAGCAUUUAAUUUUAGAAGUUUUUUAUUAAGAAUUUUUAUAAAAAUUAUGGCCCGCCUUUGAAGAAACUAUGCUCUUUCCAGGUAGCAAUGUAUUAAAGAAUAUAUAUUUAUAUAUUUAUAACAAACCUUGGUUUCACCUUUGUUUGUAGUUAAUUUAUUUUCAAUCCAAACGUUCACGCCUGCCGUAUUCAUUGGAAAGCUCCCAACUAACAAAUGAAAACUUUUCUAGGGAAAUUUGAAAUUCGCAUUUAAUGCAAUUCGAAAGUUCACACCUCUAAAUUUUUUUGUCAAGGGAACAUGACUUCGUUGGAGAGUGUUGUCAAAUCAUACUCACACUGAUAUUCAUAUAGUUUGUAAUUUGAUUGUUCACACUUUCCUUCCUCAUUGGGGAGUUCCAAGUAGAGUUUUGUAUAGUUUGAAGAAAACUUCAUUGGAGAGCUUUAUGAUGAGGAUGGCAGGUUUGAAUCAUCAGAUUACACUCAACUUUGAAAUUCGUCUAGAUCAAAAUUUUCAUGCUGGCCUUCCUUGUUAAGGAGCUUUCCACUAAAAUUUUGUUCAGUUAGAAUGAAACUUCAGUAGGGAAGUCUGCAACAAGAAGGGUAGGUAUGAACCGUAAUAUUACACCCUUUUGAAAUUCACACUGAUUUGCAAUCCGACAGGUCACAAUUGAUGCCUAUACAUAUAUGGGAAGCUCGGCAGUAAACUUUGUUCAAGGAACAAAACUUUAUUGGGGAACUCCCCAAUGAGGAGUGCGAGUGUGAAAAGUCAGAUCACUCUCAACUUGAUUUCCAAAAUAGCAUAUAUUGCAUUUUACUGCUCACACCUACCCUCAUUGGGGAGCACUCCGGUAAAGUUUUAUUAGGUUAGAACUUCAUUGGAGAACUCCUAAUGAGCAGGGCAGGUGUGAACUGUCAGCUGUCUAGACUCAUCCUACAUUCACACUCGCAUUUCUUAUUGGGGAGCACCCCUGUAAAGCUUUGUUAGUCAGAAGAAACCUUUAGUGGGAGCUCCACAAUAUAGAGGGCGAGUGUGAAUUGUCAGAUACACUCAACUUGUUUUGAAAUUUAUGUUGUUGCAAUUCGAUGGUUCACACUUGCCCUUCAUAUUGGGGGGCUAGCUAGUAUAGUUUUGUUUAGUUAAAAGAGAACAUUGUGGAGCUCCCCAAUAUGGAGGCGGAUAUGAAUUGUCAGAUUACACUCAACUUGCCUUAAAGUUCGCAUAAAUUGUAUUAGGACAUUCACAUCUAGCCUCCUCCCUAGAGAGCUCUUGAGUAAAGUUUUGUUCAAUGGAAACGAAACUGCAAUGGUGAGCUCCCAAGUGAGGAGGGUGGGUGUUAGUUGUCAGCUCAUACUCAACUCGCUUCCUAGGUUUGCAGGAUUUCAAUCCAGCAGCUCACACUUGCCCCUCUCACUGGGGAGCUCCCCAGUAAAUUUUGUUUAGUUAGAACAAACCUUCACUAGGAGCUCCCUAAAGAGCAGGGUGUGAGUUAUUAGAUGACACUCAACUUGCUUUGAGAUUUGCAUAGAUGACAAUCCGAUCGGUCCCUACUGUCCUCAUUGGGGAGCUCUCAUUAUCAUAACUUGUAAUGGGCCCAGAUUCAAGAAUUUAUAGACCUUUAGUUAGCUUCUCCUUCAUGUAUUAUGUAUAGGCAAUGUUGGAUCAUAUUAUCUAAUAUAUAUAAGUGCAUGUAUAUAUUAUCUAUUAUGUGUAUGUAUUUUAUGUACAUUGUGGAAAGGAUUUAUGUGAAUUAUACUCAAUGAAGAGUUCAAUGUUGAAUUUUAUUAUCUAAGAAAAUACCAAUUUUUCUAAGAUCAGUCCAAUUGCUUCUCCAAAAAUAGAACUUUUAUGUGUUUACAUGAAAACAAUUCUGCACUGUUAUCAAUUAUCAUGUUUUAACUGAUUACUCUUUAAUUUUAUCAUUUGAUUUUUGUUAUCUAUGAUAAAAUUUUUUAUAAUAAAAUAUGUCUACAGAAAUUAUAUCAUAACCGCAACCAAUAUUCCAUCUAUUAGCUAAGAAGAUAUAGAGUAUCCAAUCCGUGUGAAUUUUACUAACCUUUUAGCCUUAAUCUUUUGUUUCCAAAUGUGGAUUUUAUUAUAUUAGUUUAGGAUAUUGGUUACUAUAAUUUCACAAGUAUACGUUGAUAAGAGUUGCUUGUUAACACUGUUAUCUUUCAUUAUCAUUCUUUUGUGCAGGCCCAGUCCUUUGCAGAUAAUUCAUGUCAUAGGCAAUUUCAUGAGGAUAUGGUCUGUUUACUCCUUGUACCACUAUCUAUCUGAUACGGUCCUACCGUAUCAAUAGGGAUAAACGAUCACUUCGAGGGGAUCGAACCUCCGAAAGAAUUGAGAAGUAGGGAAGUAGAGAGGAGGUAGAAAGAGAAGACAAGAUAUGAGGAAAAAGCGACAAUAUUACUUUCUUAUUUCUUGUAACUCCGGGUUACAUUAUAUAGAGUCCAAAUCCUUAAACUACUCCUAAUCAUACCUAAUAAAUCUAUUCCCAAACAAGAUAACUGCCUAUUCCUAAAUAACAAGAUAUUUAAAUUUGAACUUGUUUAUUAAAAGGAAACUAUUAAAAAGGAAAGUUGGGGUCGCAUCAUCUCCUCCGCCCUCGAAAGCCACCUUGUCCUCAAGGUGGAAAAUCCUCAAGCUUGUCUAAUCCUUUUAUAUCAUCUUCUCUAUUUUCAUCAGGUUCGGCCUCGAUAAAAAAUAGUUGCUUUAAUUUGCAUCGAUGUCCGGGUCUAUAUUUUUCAUCACAAUUGUAGCAAAGGCCUUGAUCUCUUCUUACUUUCGCUUCAGCCGGUGUGAGGCGCUUUAUGGGUGGAAGCGUCUCAUUAGACAUUGGUGUUGUUGAGGCAGACAAAAGAGAAGGCUUAGAAUUUAUAAUACGAUGUUGAGCUAUCAACUUUUCCUCUUGUAGACGAGCAAGACCGAUGGCUGCUGACAUAGAAGUUGGUUGGAAGGCUCGGACAUCAUGCUUUAGGUCCUCCCUCAGCCCACUAACGAAGCAACGUAUGAAAAAUGCCUCAGUUAGUCCUGAAGUGCGAUUGGCUAGCAUUUCGAAUCGAGCCUGAUAAUCACGAACACUUUGCGCCGAACCCUGUUGUAGUUUUGCUAAUUAUCCCAUAUAGUCCUCGUACAUAGUUGGACCAAAACGAGUACAAAGAGCUUCUACGAAUUCCACCCAAGCCACGACUCCACGGUUCUUCUCGAACCAUUGAAGCCAUUGUAACGCUUCAUUCUCCAUAUGAUAGGAUGCUAGCGGAACCUUCUGGAUGUCUGGUAUUUGAUUAAAUUUAAAAAAUUGUUUCGCUCGGUACACCCAUCGAGCUGGAUCCUCGCCAUCAAACCGGGGAAACUCCAGUCGCGUGACACGAGGUAUCACCAUCAUAGAGUUCUCCAUAGAAGGAAUGUCACGACCCGGGAUCCCUUUGGGUUUGAAAGUACAGCGGAAGUAACUAGAAUUUUUUUUUUUUUUGAAAACCUGACCCCAGGGUAUGCCAAAUCCGCCACAAAUACAGGAAAUCCACUGUUCACACGGACAGAGUCUCCCCUGUAUUUGCACGGCGUCGCGCAAGUACAAGAUGUCCAAACAGAGUAUAACUAGGAUACAACCACAAUACAUGAAUAGACAAUUCUCAACAUUCAUUCACCAUUCACCAGAUAUUUACCAUUCAGUGUUUAAACAUAGAAACCACAAGAAAAACUCUUUUGAACGUUGUUUCCCACACGGAAACCUUUUCUUUUUAAAACGCUACCACGAGGGGUAGAAAAUCAUUUUUCCUUUUCACAAAAUUCACAAGUUCAAUAGUUCAUUCAAAACCACAUGAAUUCGAAUAACAUAAACCAACUGAACCAUGAAAUAUCAAAGCUAUUAAUAACAAAAGUAAACAGGGUAGGAACUAAACCAACAAGCCGGGUUGGAAGCUCUAGCGACCACUACGAACGUGUCUCACGUCUCGUCUCUACUCUCACCGCCUGCGAUACCUGAAAAAUGGUAGGGGAGGUGAGAACAUGUAAACAUGUCUCCCCUCCCAGUGGGUACCGCAAGCCGACGAAGGCGAGGAGUACUCACCGGAUCAGGAAGAGAUAAACAACAAUAUGGUAAACAAAUAUAGAUGCUGAUACGAAGAAACUACAGUAGCUAUAACAGAUAAAUGAGCAAUAAACAAAACUGCUAUUGUAAGGAAUGCAAAGCUGAGUAUGCCUCAAGGUAACCAAACCAAAACUGUACCCAAUCUAGUGCCUGCUAUAUUGGUCAGCAGACCUCAAGCGCUGCCUGUCACUGAUCUGCACCGACCUGAUUCACCCGCCCCACAGGACGACCCAUCCGGAUAAGCACACCUCCGGUCGGUGGCCAAAUCAACCCGGUGUCGUGAAUACCCCCAAGUGCUGUGACUAAGUCAUGCUGGUAUGCUCAAUACAAAAAUCGGCUGAAGCCGGUGCCUAGGCCGAAGCCAGAAACAAGGGCGUACAAUGCCGAACCUCGAUCAACCAGAUCGAAACACAUGACGAGAGAGUCGAUGUGUUGUCUCGACCCAAAGUCCACAGAGUCCAACUAACCAAAAAGGUCACUGAUACGAAGUACGAGAACCGACCAACCAGGUCAACAGAUACGGAAUGCAAUAACCGACCGACCAGGUCAACAGAUACGAAAUGCAACAACCGACCAACCAGGUCAACAGAUACACAUAUAGAUAGAACUACUCUACUCCUACUCAGGAUACUAAGCAUGCAAACAACGAGCAGAGUAUAAUGGAAUAACAUGGGUGCAAGGCUCAAUAUAUACUAUGCAAUAGUAACAACAGAAGAGUAAGGGUAAGAAACCAUUACCGAGCGUGCACCACUGUACCGACUUCGGAUCGAAGUACCCACCUAUACUAGUGUCGCACCUGUCUCCCAACUGUACACGAUCAUCAACCGGACCUACGAAGGUCCACCAGGUCAGUAACCAACCCACUAACCCAAAGUACGAGACUCGCAAACCCCCACACAAGUCCCCGAAUCGGUUUCCCAAAACCGAUCACCGUAACUCACCGGAAGUCUUAAAAACCACACCGGGAUGCCGUCGGGACCCACUAAGUGUCCCGAAACUCACCGACUCGUGUUACGAGUCACCCGCUGCCACAAAACACUCCGAUUUGGAUGUCUUGGAAGCAAACAAAAGAUAACAUAACCAAAUAAUUGUCAUCGGAUAAUUGUUCGGAUCCGGGUUCCCAGAAGUGUCUAUUUUGACACCGGAAUCCACCGUCGCUCACCCGUCAUCGUUGAACCCACAAAAUGAUGAUGGUGACCAGCCAACAAGGCUCAUCGACAAAUCAUAGGACAACCAAACCACGUCGGAAGGAAUCCGAAUCGAAUCCGCGUUCUUUCGGCGAAUUUCGCCGAAAAACGCACCGAAAUCGACUCAUCGAUUUCCGCGAAGGCUAUCGGAUCAUGGACAAUCAGUCCAGAGGUCACCAAACACAUACACACUGCCCACAGUAGCCACAAGGUGCACAAAUGCAUAAAAGCCCCUCAAUUUACAUAAAAUCCUAUCAUUUUAUGUAAAUCGGGCGAUUAAGUGGCUCGUUCACGCAAACCGAGAACUUCUAAGUUCCGCCGAGACACGUACUGCUUGGUCUUGACGUACCGGAGGCCGUGCUCAUGAUUCAGAGCACAACAGCUCACUGUGCGAAGCGCGGGAGCAACCCGAAGGUUCAACGAAUAGCGCGUAGAUGGGAAAAAACGCGCCGAACAGAACUAACCGGACUUCGUUGAUCCAAAGUGAGGUGAGCACUGUGAUCAGAACUGACCAACGAUCACCGUGCUCACCUCCGGAGGCAUCGGAACUGUAAGGUACCGGACUUCUAAAAUUAUGAAGUUAUGGUGUACGUUGCUUUGGAAAGCCAAUUGGAUGGUUUCGUGAGGUUCGGUGAAGUUCUGGAGCAAUCGGGCGUUUCGAUGCGCAUAGGCGCGAAAACGGAACCCGAAAGGCUAACUUGGGCCGUGAGCUAAAUCCGGCAUUAGCGAGGAUGGAAAGAUGAUGAAAACAUGUUUGAAAACAUGUUUGGAGAGUCUCGGUUCGAUUUGAGACGAAUCGGAGGUCAAACGAACGAAAACGGGCGAAAACGGAGCGAAAACGGACGAAGCUGAAAAUUGGCUAAGUCUGGGCUGAAGGUCUCUCUGGGACCGGUCCCAGGUAGAGAGACCGGUCUCUCAGAGACCGGUCCCUCAUGUAGNCAGGACCAUGCAAGCUCUGAUACCAAAUGAUACGGUCCUACCGUAUCAAUAGGGAUAAACGAUCACUUCGAGGGGAUCGAGCCUCCAGAGAAUUAAGAAAUUGAGAGGUAGGGACAAGAUAUGAGGGAAAAGAGAUAAUUUUACUUGAUAGUUUCUUGUAACGCCCCGGUUACAUUAUAUAGAGUUCAACUACUCCUAACCAUUUCCUAACAAGAUAAUUGACUAUCCCUAAUUAUAUUCCUAAAUAACAGAUAUUUAAAUUUGAACUUGUUUAAUAAAAGGAAACUAUUAAAAAGGAAAGUUGGGUCACAUCAUUUUCAAAAUUCUGAUGUCUUUCAAAAUUAUUAUUCUCCACUGUUCAGUUCCUCAAACAGCAUGAUGGUAUGAAGACAACAACGUUGAAGUUGACUUGGUGUACAAAAAUUCUGUCCACUAAAUCAACCAGCUCUUUUAAAAGUCUACGACUAUCUAUACACGCUUCGAGUUCUUUUAGGUACUGCACCAUUCUGAAGAACAUAGAGUACAGUAUAUGAGAUUCCUUUCUUCCUUCCAUUUGAAUUGGGACCUUGUUAGGUUUUAAUUAGUGAUACAGGUCCUUGUUCUGAUAGAAUGUUGCUACUUUUAUUUCCUUGUAAUCCCUUUAGUAUGUUUGUUCAAUGAUUAAGUUUCUCAACAUUUGGAGAGCUUUUUUUUUUUUUUUGCGAGACUUGAACUUUCUCGUUCUGAGAUGCACAG